Long non-coding RNA from Stomoxys calcitrans (stable fly), 419 nucleotides. RefSeq lists it as uncharacterized. The transcript is spliced from 2 exons. The record is from RefSeq and is a predicted model, not a curated record. NCBI's taxonomy places the organism in Eukaryota, Metazoa, Arthropoda, Insecta, Diptera, Muscidae.
UACAAUCUUUUCGGCAAAAGAUCGUUCAAAAAAGUUACAGUUAAAAGAAUUUUUAAUGGUUAUUAUUGAUCUAAUUGAUAACAAUUUCUUUGAAAAAAAAAAAACAGAUUAUUAUCAAUUUUAUAUGAGUUGGCAAAAAAAUACAUUUGUACCGAGCAAUUACAUGUGAAAGAAGAAUGAAACUUAAAGUUAUUUUGUAGGUUUUUGCCAGGAUUUCAACUCUAUCGAUUUCAGUGGUGUUCACCAUACGCAUAACUUUGGCCCCAAACGAUCUUAUCUUCAAAAAUGUGAUAUUUUAGUUGUUUAUAUCCUCCACCAUUGGGUGGGGAGUUUAUACAUAUUUCGUCAUUCCUUUUGUAAUAUAGUUCUAAGACCUCAUAAAGGAAAGGGUUUUCCCAAAGGAUCUCGACAACUUUGAA